Molecule: long non-coding RNA, 1905 nt
Organism: Monodelphis domestica (gray short-tailed opossum)
Lineage: Eukaryota; Metazoa; Chordata; Mammalia; Didelphimorphia; Didelphidae
Source: Ensembl
UAGAAAUGAUCUUGAAGACCCCUUGCAUUUCUCAAUCUAUGACCCUAUGAACCUGAUUUACUAGUCAUAGUUUAAUAAUGCAAUUACAUCUCUAAGUAGGUUAAGUGAUGGAAUAUAAUGUGAUAACCAUUUAGUGUUUACUGAAUGUAGAGUUUAAACUCCACAAGUAGGCUUUAUUUUAUGUAUUUUAUUUUUGUUUUAUAUUUUGCAAUUUUCCAUAUUACAUGUAGAAACAAUUUAAUAAUCAUUUUCAAAUUACUAUCUAUAUUUUCUCUCCUUCCUGAGGUUGCAGAUAGUUCAUGUACUAUCAUAUGAUACAUAUAAUCCACUGUUCAUCAUGUUAUAAAAGAAGACAGUCACAGUUUAUACUUGAGAAAAAUCUAUGGAGGAAAUAAAAUAAAGAAUAUGCUUCAAUCUUCAUUCAGACUUCAUUACUUAUUUUUUAUCAUGAAUCUUUGGAAUUUUCCUGGAACUUUGCAUCUACCAGUAGUUUUUAAAGAUAAACUCAUACAUCUGGAAUCCUUCUUGGUCACUCAUCAACUUUCAGCAUGCUCACUUCAAGUCAUCUUUAUCUGACAACCAGAUUCAGAUAUUUACUGGGCAUUUUAGCUUCUUGCUGCCUGGAUUUCUUCAUCUAUCAAAUGAGUUCAUAAUACUAUCAACUCUCAUGUGUUAUGGUGAGAAUAUGAGAAAAUAUUUGUAAAGUGCUUUAUAAACCUUAAAAUACCAUAAGUAAUUUUAGUUAUGUUAGCCAAUGUUACCUUUAAUGAAAGAACAAACUUGAGGGCAAAGAAACAAGGAGUGUAACUUUGGACCACAUUUUGGCCUCUAAUCAAGAGGGUCUUAGUACUCCUCCAUUACAUCCUUGUCUCUCAUCUUUAUUUGGAACCUGUCCAGGCAAGAAGGAUUAAUAAGAAAAAGAAGCUAGGAUUUUUCAUGCCCCUGGAGUCAACUAUGAAAUAGCUGCUCAUGCUCCAAUAUGGAACACUUCCAUUAAAUUCCAUUAUGAACCUCUGUAAUCAUUCUCCCAAACUUCUAUGUGGGUUAUGGAAUUUGUUGAGCUCUCUAUUACACUGCAUAGAUUAAGUGAUCUCAUUUUUUUUAGAUAGUGUUGUACUCUACUUCUGCAAAUAGGCAAGACUUAAUUCAUACCUAUUUUUAAAGAAACUGAAGUUCUUCAUGAAUUCCCAUUUCUUGACUUAAUGAAUGGAUUUAUUUAGAAUUGUAGAAAUUGUACAAACUUAAGUUGUUGCAUUAUACAGUUCUUCAAAUGACAGGUAGCUCCAUAUAACUGUAAAACCUGAAAAUUACAUAAAUCCUUGUGACCACAGCUGAACAUCUCUGUUUAAAGAAUCUUUACAUGUGGGCACACCAGGCUUUUUAAACAGUCUAUUAAAAAACCUGCAUCCACAUUUGCCCCUUAGACUCACCUCACUUUGUAGUUGGUCUUGGGUGGUGGAUACUUCUAGGAUGUUUAUGACACUAUGUUCCUUAUGGAUCUGGACUAUGGAUCUAACAACAUAAAUAAUAUAGCAUAUGCCUCAUUUCUGUAUCUUUUGCUUGAUUAACAAUUUGAUUUAACCUUUUAGUGAUGAAAUAUUUUCUUUGCUGUAAUUCUUACACUAAAGGGAGAUGGGGAACAUAAUGAUCUAAAUAUAAAGGAAUUUUGAAAUCUUGAAGCCUUUCUUCAAUGCCCCAUAUAUUGAACAUGUAUGUGAGGAUACUUUAAGUUGUCACCUAUUCCAAACAUAAUGGUAGUUGUCACCAGGAUAGGCUCUAUUAUUAGAAUCAUCAAAUCAAGGAGACCUCAUGCCUAUCACUUAGAGACUUGACCCCUUUAUAUUUCCUAUCUUCAUGGCAAUUGUCUCAUUUGCCUGAAAAUAAAAUUGAGCCAAGUCAUUUGCA